Molecule: long non-coding RNA, 1820 nt
Organism: Biomphalaria glabrata
Lineage: Eukaryota; Metazoa; Mollusca; Gastropoda; Planorbidae
Exons: 2
Source: RefSeq, a predicted model, not a curated record
GGCAUAUUGGUUAAGCGCUCGGCUUUGUGAAGACUGGGAUUUUGAAUUUCGGUCCACCCAAAUCUAAUGGUGACCUGACUUAAUUUGGGAAAGUAAAGGCGGUUGGUCGUUGUGCUGGCCACAUGACACCCUGCUCGUUAAAAGUUGGCCAUAGAAACAGAUGACCUUAACAUCAUCUGCCCCAUAGAUCGCAAGGUCUGAAAGGGAAACUUUCCUUUUACAAUAUUGAAAUUUAUAGUUGCGAAUGUCCAAAAAGUCCGUCACGCCGUUCCACAAGGGGGCCGUCAUCAGUGUCUCGUUAGCUGGAGUGGCGGUCCUUGCACGGAACAGUGGCGGUUACAGUAUAGGAAUAUGAGACAAGCUCCCCAAGUUAGCACUGUUCUCGGCCACUUGUAGCGAGUGGGGCCCAGGAACGGGGACGGUGCGCUGUGUACACGUCUAGGUCCGGUCUGGCCCAGUCAAUCGAUAUGGCCGUCUACCGUUGGGAGCCCUCAGACCAGUGGCGUAGCUAAAGUGGGGGUAGGAGGGGGGAGCAUUUCAAAAUCCCCCCGGGUCCCCACUUGAGGGGGGCCCCCUAAUGAGUGUUUUUUACAUUGAAAGUUUAAUAUUAAGCAACUGCAGGGGCCCCCAAAGAGGCCAAGCCCCCAGGGCCCCCAAUCGAUGAAAAAUUCCUAGCUACGCCCCUGCCUCAGACAGGACAGAGGUGAAGAGCCCUACGUCCAGGACUGGUAGUUAGAUAAAAGCCUUUCUAACCACCAAUGGGAUAAUGGCGCCUACGCCCUUCUGGACUUCACUGUAGGUAGACAACUAGAGCGUGACCGCUAUGUCGAAGGCGCCGAUUAGUCGCCGAUUUUGGGUUGUUUCGUUUACGCACGCACUGCUAGUUUUUAAAUAACGAUUUAUACCUUUACUAACUCUGACCUAGAAGAGCGAUAGUGAAGCUAUUUUUAGGUGCUUAUCAUGGCUUAUGAUUAUCUCAUCUCUUCAGCAUGUUGGAAUGGAUUUUUUGAAAGCCUUCAAAAUGAAACAUAUUUAGGCUUAUGAAUAAGAUUCUAAUGGGAAUAUUAAUGUUUCAGCUGUAGAAUAUGGAUAUAAAUAAUGAUUGGGGCCAAGGCUGUUUUCCUUUGAGAUCUGUCCAGGUUUUCUUGUGAGUAGAAGCUUUCAGGACAGUAUUUGUUUUUUAUAUGACAAAGUAGUUAGCCCUGCGCACAACCUUCUGGGGGACUGCCCCUUUCAUCUCUCUGGAUAGCUGCCUUUAUUUUCGGGUAAGGUGCCAUAGCCUUUGUUGAUCCCUCCACUAAUUUCUCACAAUUUAUUGAAUUAGAAUUAGAAAAGCUGAAAAGAAAGAGAGGGAUAAACUAGAAACAGAUAUAGGGGAAUAAGAGAAAGAGAUGAAAGAGCAGCUCAACGAGCUCAUCAAAAAGAAUUAAAAGACUUAGAACUCAAACAAAAACAAUUAGAAACCAAACAAAAAGAAAGUGAGGAAUGGAUAGAAUUAGCAAAAGUAGAAGCAGUCAAAGUAAACCCUAAUAUAUCGACCCAACAAACAUCUCCAAAUUCCAUAACUUUAGCAUCAAAGAGGAAACUCUUGAAAAUUACUUGGAUUAAUUUGAACACAUAGCAUCAACCUACACAAUGUUUAGUGAAGAAAUGGCAAAACAAUUAUUAUUCUGUCGGGAGAAUCUUCUCUCGAUAUUAAUUGGAAAAAAAAAUAUUUGUUUGGUUUUGUAUAUUGUAAUUCUGAUUCUCUCUAACAGGCCUUCUGUAAACACUGCUCAACAGAACACAUCUAACUCAAGAACUUGACAACAAGAGUUCCA